AGUUUGAUCCUGGCUCAGGAUGAACGCUAGCGGCAGGCUUAACACNUGUNAAGAUCGAACGGCAGCGGGGAUUCACUUCGGUGAAUCUGCCGGCGAGUGGCGCACGGGUGAGUAACACGUAUGCAACCUGCCUCUGUCAGGGGUAUAACUCUGCGAAAGUAGGGCUAAUACCGCGUAUAUUCCCGGAGGGCAUCCUCCGGGGAGGAAAGGUUUCGGCCGGACAGAGAUGGGCAUGCGGCGCAUUAGGCAGUUGGCGGGGUAACGGCCCACCAAACCGACGAUGCGUAGGGGUUCUGAGAGGAAGGUCCCCCACACUGGUACUGAGACACGGACCAGACUCCUACGGGAGGCAGCAGUGAGGAAUAUUGGUCAAUGGCCGGAAGGCUGAACCAGCCAAGCCGCGUGAAGGACGAAGGUGCCAAGCAUUGUAAACUUCUUUUGUCAAGGGACAAAAUCAGGCUCGAGAGCCUGACCNANGGUACUUGAAGAAAAAGCAUCGGCUAACUCCGUGCCAGCAGCCGCGGUAAUACGGAAGGAUGCGAGCGUUAUCCGGANUUUAUUGGGNUUUUAAAGGGUGCGUAGGCGGAACUGUUAAGUCAGCGGUAAAAGCCCGGGGGCUCAAACCCCGGCGAGCCGUUGAAACUGGCUGUCUUGAGAUGUCGAGAGGUAUGCGGNAAUGCGCAGUGUAGCGGUGAAAUGCUUAGAUAUUGCGCAGAACUCCGAUUGCGAAGGCAGCAUACCGGCGGCGAUCUGACGCUGAGGCACGAAAGCGUGGGUAUCGAACAGGAUUAGAUACCCUGGUAGUCCACGCAGUAAACGAUGAAUACUGGCUGUGUGGCCCGACAGAGGGCUGCGUGGCGUAGCGAAAGCGUUUAAGUAUUCCACCUGGGGAGUACGCCGGCAACGGUGAAACUCAAAAGGAAUUGACNGGGGGCCCNGCNCAAGCGGAAGGAACAUGUGGNUUUAAUUCGAUGAUACCNCGAGGNAACCUUACCCGGGNCUCAAACGGNCAGAUGACGGAGGAAGAGACUUCUCCUCCCGCAAGGGCAUCUGCCGAGGUGCUGCAUGGUUGUCGUCAGCUCGUGCCGUGAGGUGUCGGCUUAAGUGCCAUAACGAGCGCAACCCCUGCUGACAGUUGCUAACAGGUUAAGCUGAGGACUCUGUCAGGACUGCCGGCGCAAGCCGAGAGGAAGGCGGGGAUGACGUCAAAUCAGCACGGCCCUUACGUCCGGGGCGACACACGUGUUACAAUGGCCGGUACAGCGGGAAGCCAGGCGGCGACGCCGAGCGGAACCCGAAAGCCGGUCUCAGUUCGGAUCGGAGUCUGCAACCCGACUCCGUGAAGCUGGAUUCGCUAGUAAUCGCGCAUCAGCCAUGGCGCGGUGAAUACGUUCCCGGGCCUUGUACACACCGCCCGUCAAGCCAUGGGAGCCGAGGGCGCUUGAAGUGCGUUGCCGCGAGGCGCGCCCUAGAGCGAAAUCGGUGACUGGGGCUAAGUCGUAANCAAGGUAGC
RNAcentral lists this ribosomal RNA (1513 nucleotides) under uncultured bacterium. RNAcentral's name for it is "bacterial SSU rRNA". It matches the Rfam family "Bacterial small subunit ribosomal RNA". The record is from RNAcentral.